UACGGAGGGUGCGAGCGUUGUCCGGAAUCAUUGGGCGUAAAGGGCGCGUAGGCGGCCUGGUCAGCGUGCGGUGAAAGCUCGGGGCUCAACCCCGAGUCGGCCGUGCGAACUGCUGGGCUCGAGCACUGUAGAGGCAGGCGGAAUUCCGGGUGUAGCGGUGGAAUGCGUAGAGAUCCGGAAGAACACCGGUGGCGAAGGCGGCCUGCUGGGCAGUAGCUGACACUGAGGCGCGACAGCGUGGGGAGCAAACAGG
RNAcentral lists this ribosomal RNA (253 nucleotides) under uncultured bacterium. RNAcentral describes it as "partial 16S ribosomal RNA". It matches the Rfam family "Bacterial small subunit ribosomal RNA", at positions 524 to 776 of the family's 1533-position model. The record is from RNAcentral.